RNAcentral lists this ribosomal RNA (156 nucleotides) under uncultured Basidiomycota. RNAcentral describes it as "5.8S ribosomal RNA". It matches the Rfam family "5.8S ribosomal RNA". Rfam says of the family: 5.8S ribosomal RNA (5.8S rRNA) is a component of the large subunit of the eukaryotic ribosome. It is transcribed by RNA polymerase I as part of the 45S precursor that also contains 18S and 28S rRNA. Functionally, it is thought that 5.8S rRNA may be involved in ribosome translocation. The record is from RNAcentral. Lineage: Eukaryota; Fungi; Basidiomycota.
CAACUUUCAACAACGGAUCUCUUGGCUCUCACAUCGAUGAAGAACGCAGCGAAAUGCGAUAAGUAAUGUGAAUUGCAGAAUUCAGUGAAUCAUCGAAUCUUUGAACGCAAAUUGCGCCCUUUGGUAUUCCGAAGGGCAUGCCUGUUUGAGUGUCAU